AUGUAGCUCAAUUGGCAGAGCAGCUGGCUGUUAACCAGCAGGUCGCGGGUUCGAAUCCCUCCAUG
Molecule: transfer RNA, 65 nt
Filed under: uncultured Prevotella sp.
Lineage: Bacteria; Pseudomonadati; Bacteroidota; Bacteroidia; Bacteroidales; Prevotellaceae
Rfam family: tRNA
About the family: Transfer RNA (tRNA) molecules are approximately 80 nucleotides in length. Their secondary structure includes four short double-helical elements and three loops (D, anti-codon, and T loops).
Source: RNAcentral